Hypanus sabinus (Atlantic stingray) is the source of this 2236-nucleotide long non-coding RNA. RefSeq lists it as uncharacterized. NCBI's taxonomy places the organism in Eukaryota, Metazoa, Chordata, Chondrichthyes, Myliobatiformes, Dasyatidae. The record is from RefSeq and is a predicted model, not a curated record. The transcript is spliced from 3 exons.
UGUAGGUAAUACAUGAUACUUAUGGGGUGUUAGCCUUCAUAAGUGGAGGAAUAGAGUUUAAGUGUCGCGAGGUAAUGAUGCAGCUCUAUAAAACUCCAGUUCGGCCACACUUCGAGUACCGUGUCCAGUUCUGGUCGCCUCACUAUAGGAAGGAUGUGGAAGCAUUGGAAUGGGUACAGAGGAGAUUUACCAGGUUGGUGCCUGAUUUAGAUAGUAUGGGUUAUGAUCAGAGAUUAAGGGAGCUUGGGCUUUACUCUUUGAAAGAAGGAAGAUGAGAGGAGACAUGACAGAGAUGUACAAGAUAUUAAGAGGAAUAGACAGAGUGGACAGCCAGCGCCUCUACCCCAGGGCACCACUGCUCAGUAUAAGAGGACAUGGUAAGGGGAGGAAAGUUCAAGGGGGAUAUUAGAGGAAGGUUUUUCACUCAGAGAGUGGUUGGUGCGUGGAAUGCACUGCCCGAGUCAGUGGUGGAGGCAGAUACACCAGUGAAAUUGAAGAGACUACUAGACGGGUAUAUGGAGGAAUUUAAGGUGGGAGGCUAUAUGGGAGGCAGGGUUUGAGGGUCACCACAACAUUGUGGGCCGAAGGGCCUGUAAUGUGCUGUACUAUUCUAUGUUUUAUAAUCAAUACAUUAUUUCAGAUAGGACAAUCCAUACGAACCAUUCGGAUAUAAUAUUACAGGAUUAAUAAGCAGGAACAACUCCCCCAAUAGAUAAAACCAUUCCAAACACAUACGUUCCUCAACCAGUGGAGCACCUCACCACAGGCAUUGUUUGUGUCAUCAGUCAGACAACCGAAAGAUUUUCUCUAUCAAUCAGCUUCCAAAUGUUGUUGACACGCCCCGCUGCUGAUUCCCUUCUCCUUAUCAUACGUUCUUACCCCGACCGUCGUCCAGAGCCCCAAACUCUGCCCUGUGCAGACCCGCCUCUGGUUUCUGACCCUGCUCCGUUGAACAUCCAAACAAUGGUUUCGCAUUCUGCUUUCAGUCUUUAGAGGACAGUGUGUUUUCAACAACACUUUAGAAGCAGGGGAAAUGACCCAUAAUGUGGAAAUGAGUCAUGAAUAAGGAGGGUAACUCCCAAAUUCAUUCUUCCUCAGCUCAGAGAUUUCAGGGGUAAAGAACAUCUCAGACAGAACUGCAGUCAGCUCAAUUUCUUCAGUCUGCAGAAAAUUCAGGGAAACCACUUCACCCACAGGAUGGUGACUGUUUGGAACCCAUCACCACAGGGAGAGCAAGAGGUGAACAACAGGGGAGGACUUAAAAGGACUGUCCUGGAACAGAAUCACAGGCAGGGUCCAGCCGGCAUGAGUUGACCCUCCACUGUGCACAAGGAUCCCAAUACAGGGAGUGCCAAGCAGACGGGCUGAGUAAGCGGCUGGACCACUCUGGGGACUGCAGAGACUGACCAGGUGCCCAAUAGAGAACCACGAAACAAAGAAAACGUGAAAGUCGUUCAGAGAAAAAAAAAAUGAAACUACCUCCCCACCCCCCGCAUCAAAAAGGACGGCAUCCCAAUCAUCAACCCCCAAAAUCCACCCCUCCCGCACAAAAGGGAAGAAAAAUAUCGACACCCGAAAAUAAACACCCCUACCCCGCACAACUGCGGAGGAGCCGGUGUCACCAGUGUAGAGGCGGCCGCAUCGGGAGCAGCGGACACAACGGGCGACCCCGGAGGAUUCACAGGUGAAAUGUCGCCUCACCUGGAAGGAUGUUUGGACAACGGAGAGAGAUCGGCCGUCCGGCCCUUGCACUGUGACACCCGGAACUCCACAUCAAAUCCGUCCAAACGAAUCUGGGUGAUCUUUAAUGACCAAUAAAUAUAUUUCCUCUCAGCGAUCAGCUGUCUGAAUGAUCCCCUGACUCUGAGAGGAAGGGGUAUCUAUGGUCCACACUGUCAGGGUGUUGAGUUUACCAGGAGACAAAGACUGCAGGGACGGGAGGUUCUCUGUUGACUAAUACACUGUGUGUGGACCACACUGGCAAUUCUGGUGUUGUGACCCGAAUCGAGACAAACAUCACGCUGCCCACUCCACCAACAACACGGCACACCCGGACACCUAACAGGGGAUCUUACAUCUCACCACACUGGAUUCAGUGAUGAAACCCGUGAUUAAUGUUGUUGUCUCACCGAAAAGCCCAUUAACCCUAACCCUGCAAUAUGGUGUAAAAUCCCGCUCCCCAUACUAACACGGGUUAUACAGAGCAAACAACAAACUGCCGGAGGAACUCAGUGGG